Non-coding RNA from Drosophila virilis, 2041 nucleotides. The record is from RefSeq and is a predicted model, not a curated record. Lineage: Eukaryota; Metazoa; Arthropoda; Insecta; Diptera; Drosophilidae.
AGCUAAACACACGACUUGUGAAAAUCACCUAAUUUAAAUAAACAUGAAUUAAGAACACAAAAGUGGUGUUAGCAGUUGUCAAAAUGAGCAAUAUUAACGACCAACAACGAGACGUCAUCACUUCACUGACUAGCGCCAGUCAGCAGUGCAAUAAGCGGAUCAAAAUGCAAGCGGGUCAGCAAUUUCUACAAAAGUACCACCGUUUGCAAUGCUAAACUUCGAGGGACUGUACAGUGCAAGAUUAUUUCCAACGAUUCGAAUGGGCACUGCAACUGAGUUAAAUUCCUGAUGCUGAACACCACCAUUAUGCAAGGGUGCAUAUGGGAGCUGAGCUGAAUUCAGCGCUACGUAUUCUGAUAAGUCCAAGGCAACCAGAGACGCUACAAGCGAGAUUAAGGAAGUGCUAAUUAAUCACUUCGAUGGCAAACGUAACAUUUACGCAGAGAGCUUUAAAUUUCGACAACUACGCCAGGAACCAGAGGACUCACUAGUAGCGUUUGUUCUACGCUUAAAACAGGCAGCAUCAUUUUGCAAUUGCGAAUCGUUCUAGACAGAAUGCUAACAGAACAAAUGCUUUUCGGCAUGCAAAAUCGCAGCACCUGCAAUGAGGGAAUCGCAAAACAGCCAACCACAUUUGGAGACGCAUACGAGGCUGCAUAUUCCAGGGAAUUGUUACUACCGUCAGCAAACAUGGUUAAUGACAUAGAUAAAGAGCCUACAUGCAAACUGGGCUUCUCGCCACUCAGUAGGAAGCCCUCAAGCGGAGUGAAGCAAGGAAGCAAAUGCUACGGAUGUGGGGGGCGACACUUACGCAAGGAUUGCAAAUUCAAAAACGAGAAAUACUAAGUGUGUGGUAAAGUAGGGCAUAUAAGUAAGGUAUGUAAAGCCAAUACGAAACAGAUCUCCGAGUCAACAGAUUCAGAUGCCCCGGAAGAAAUACAAUUUAUUCAACAAUUGAAUAUCAACGCCAUCAAGUCAGUAGGUAGAAAAAUCAUAACGAUGAAGAUUGACGGAAUAAAAAUACCAAUGGAAACGGAACAAAGGUGCUCCAUGCAGCAUAAUGAAUGGAAAGACCAUUCGGAAAAUUAAACCUUUAAUACGAUUAGAGUAAACUGACCGCAAAUCUUCGAGUUAUACGGGGCUUAGGAUCAACUGCUGUGUGUGGGCGAGAAUGGAUCUUCCAAUUUUCAAAAGAAAUUGAUUUUACUGAGAUUUUUAAUAACAAUUCUGUCAACGCCAAGGACAUAGAUCAGGAAAUUUUCUCGACGAAAGGAGCGCGGUGAAAACAAUAGCAGUACAAGCGGCGUGACUGAUUUGACAGGAACCUUCAAGGGACUAGGACUAGCAACAUUGGGAAAAUUACAGAGCCUAGGAUUUAAAUUGAACAAAUCAAAAUGUGUAUUCGCCGCAUUUUCGGUUGAGUUUCUGAGACACAAGAUUGGCGCAGAAGUCAUACAUAAAUCAACUAAACAUAUUGAGGCCAUCUAAAAGCACCGAAACCAUCUAUAAUCGAACAGGUGCAGCUGAAAGCAGCUUACUACUCAAAGUUCAUACCAAAUCUGUCAACCUUGAAAAGACCGCUGCGUGAUAUACUCAAAGACUACAAUUCUACAGGUCAGAAGAGACGGAAUUAGCUUACAACUGAAUUAAACAAAUUCUAGUUUCACCGGAGGUGCUUAUGACCCAACACUUCCAUUAGUGCUAGCAACGGACGCCAGCAAAAUAGGUAUAGGCGCUGUACUAUCGCAUUGUUUGGUUGCGCCUACGCAAGCCGUACAGUUAGUCCCACAGAACACCUAUAUAAUGAAGCCCUAGCAAUUGUAUGGGCAAUACAAAGAUUCUUCAAAUAUUUACACGCCUGAAGUUGGACAUUGGUUACCGAUAACAAAUCACUUGCACAAAUUUUACACCCUACCAAAUCACUACUGACGCUAUGCAUCUCUAGGAUGGAAAACUAAGCAGAUUUUUUAAGCAACUUCAAUUUCACAGUAACUACCAAAAUAUCAAAGGAAAAUGUAAAUGCUGACUACUUUUCCGAUUA